GACGAACGCUUGCGGCGUGCUUAACACAUGCAAGUCGAACGGAAAGGCCCUGCUUUUGUGGGGUGCUCGAGUGGCGAACGGGUGAGUAACACGUGAGUAACCUGCCCUUGACUUUGGGAUAACUUCAGGAAACUGGGGCUAAUACCGGAUAGGAGCUCCUGCUGCAUGGUGGGGGUUGGAAAGUUUCGGCGGUUGGGGAUGGACUCGCGGCUUAUCAGCUUGUUGGUGGGGUAGUGGCUUACCAAGGCUUUGACGGGUAGCCGGCCUGAGAGGGUGACCGGCCACAUUGGGACUGAGAUACGGCCCAGACUCCUACGGGAGGCAGCAGUGGGGAAUAUUGCACAAUGGGCGGAAGCCUGAUGCAGCAACGCCGCGUGCGGGAUGACGGCCUUCGGGUUGUAAACCGCUUUCGCCUGUGACGAAGCGUGAGUGACGGUAAUGGGUAAAGAAGCACCGGCUAACUACGUGCCAGCAGCCGCGGUGAUACGUAGGGUGCGAGCGUUGUCCGGAUUUAUUGGGCGUAAAGGGCUCGUAGGUGGUUGAUCGCGUCGGAAGUGUAAUCUUGGGGCUUAACCCUGAGCGUGCUUUCGAUGCGGGUUGACUUGAGGAAGGUAGGGGAGAAUGGAAUUCCUGGUGGAGCGGUGGAAUGCGCAGAUAUCAGGAGGAACACCAGUGGCGAAGGCGGUUCUCUGGGCCUUUCCUGACGCUGAGGAGCGAAAGCGUGGGGAGCGAACAGGCUUAGAUACCCUGGUAGUCCACGCUGUAAACGGUGGGUACUAGGUGUGGGGUCCAUUCCACGGGUUCCGUGCCGUAGCUAACGCUUUAAGUACCCCGCCUGGGGAGUACGGCCGCAAGGCUAAAACUCAAAGGAAUUGACGGGGCCCCGCACAAGCGGCGGAGCAUGCGGAUUAAUUCGAUGCAACGCGUAGAACCUUACCUGGGUUUGACAUGGAUCGGGAGUGCUCAGAGAUGGGUGUGCCUCUUUUGGGGUCGGUUCACAGGUGGUGCAUGCCUGUCGUCAGCUCGUGUCGUGAGAUGUUGGGUUAAGUCCCGCAACGAGCGCAACCCUUGUUCACUGUUGCCAGCACGUUAUGGUGGGGACUCAGUGGAGACCGCCGGGGUCAACUCGGAGGAAGGUGGGGAUGACGUCAAGUCAUCAUGCCCCUUAUGUCCAGGGCUUCACGCAUGCUACAAUGGCUGGUACAGAGAGUGGCGAGCCUGUGAGGGUGAGCGAAUCUCGGAAAGCCGGUCUCAGUUCGGAUUGGGGUCUGCAACUCGACCUCAUGAAGUCGGAGUCGCUAGUAAUCGCAGAUCAGCAACGCUGCGGUGAAUACGUUCCCGGGGCU
Molecule: ribosomal RNA, 1346 nt
Filed under: uncultured bacterium
Lineage: Bacteria
Description: partial 16S ribosomal RNA
Rfam family: Bacterial small subunit ribosomal RNA
Source: RNAcentral